UUUCCGUAGGUGAACCUGCGGAAGGAUCAUUAUUGAAUAACCAUUCUAAGAGGACUGUCGCUCACCCGUAUGGUCGUGCACUCCCGGCUGCAGUCGCACACCUCCAUGUCCCCCCUGUGGGCACCGCCGCGUGGGUCCCCCUCGGCCUUGCUAGAAUGGAAGCUUACGUUUUCACGCAACCUUUGUCUGCAGUGAAAAAUGUAUUUAAUGUUUUUACGAACACGCAAUCAAUACACCUUUCAACAACAGAUCUCUUGGCUCUCGCAUCGAUGACGAACC
Molecule: unclassified non-coding RNA, 279 nt
Filed under: plant metagenome
Description: partial contains small subunit ribosomal RNA, internal transcribed spacer 1, and 5.8S ribosomal RNA
Source: RNAcentral